UAGCGAACAGUGGAAACUCAGGGAUGCAAGGAACCUUCCAGUGUAUGCCAAAGCCCUUAGCUUACAGAGGAGACCACCAGCUUUCACAUAAAGUGUGACAUGGGCCAGCCUGGAGUCAAGUUCUCUUGACCUGGGUUCAGGUCUUCUCUUUCCUUGUUGAUUUGUUUUUAAACCGUGUGGCGUUGUGUUUUUACAAGGCGAAAAAGACAUUCAUGAAGGCAUUUAGAGUCUUAUAGAAAUGAGGUCCUUCUAGAGAAGAGCAUUGUCGAGUCCUUCACAUUUUUCCUCUUGGUUCCUCCAGUUUUCUGUGUCCACUGUGACCAGUUUCUAAACCAAAAAUUAGAUCAUGUGGUUAGAUAAAGAAAUAUGCGUUAUUUGACUUGUAAAUUUGUUUUAACAAAGAUAUUUUAAAUGUUUGACAAGAACAUCAUGUUUAGUUAUUUGGUUCUUGACAAACUACUGCUUUCAGGUUUUUCCAUGACUUUUCUCCUUUAGUUUCCCCACCGUCCUGCUAGGUGAGUAUCAGGAACAUGCUUAUGGUACAGAUAAGGAAACUAAGGCUUAGAGAAGUUAAUAGUUAGAGAAGUUAACUGGGGUCCAAGGUUGUAAAAGACACAUCUUUCUGACUCACAAAUCUGUUAACUUAGUCACGAUAUCAUUCUGCUUCUCAGCUCAUGUUUACAUAUACAUUAGAUAUAAUUUGGGAAUCAGCUGAUUUACUGAAAAUAAUAAAACUACAUGAAAUCAGAUAAAUCUGGGGCAUGCAGUCACCAUCCCCAUGACUGGAGGUGUUUGAUUAUUUGUCCUGAUUUACUGGAAGCUGGCACCUGGUGGUGGGUCCCCCAAAGUCAGGCUUAACUAUGUUUUAGCUAAAAGUCUUAAUGCCACUUAGUUCUAGUGUAUUGGACUGACUCGGGUUGACAUUUGAACUUUGUAGUGUUCAGACACUCUUACCCAAACCACAGUCUCCAUUUGGUGAGCAAUGGGCUUUGGAAUUGGCUGAAUUCGUGGAGGAGAAAGGGCUAAGGUGACAGGGGAUGGGAUAGCCUUUUCUGAAAUCUUGCUUAUGACCUUGGGACCAUUUUCCUCUUGAGGUCCUGGCUUUCUCUCAUCAAAGCCCUGGUAACUUAAUUAUUAAAAUGCAUUCACCCUUUAAAAGGCAGGAGUUUCAUCGCAUUACUUUUAGGCUGUCUCUUCUCGGUGACUGAAUGUCUGGGUUGUGUCAUAACAAGGCCAAUUAAAAAGAAAAAAAAAUGCACAAAGUCAAGGCACAUCCCCUACCCUCUGAGUCAGGUUCAUACCCCUCCCAGGAUCUGUAAAUCCGCUGCUCUUAUGGAGCUUGGGGCUGCUCCUCUGGAGCCAGUUGUUCAGUUUUAUAGCCUGCGCUGACCCCAUGAUAUCACUGGGUCAUCAGAGUAGGUGGUUUGGGGUUAAAAAAGGCUGGUUCCCAAGAAGCAAGCCCAAGGCUCUUAAGAAGGGCAGGGUGGGGGUUGGUGGAGAGGGUGGGUAUCCUAGAAACAGCCCCAGGCAGCCAGGUAAAGGAACUGGGGAGGUGUCCUAAGGCAGGAUUUCCACUGCCUGCAGCAAGGAGACCCUUCUCAAUUCAUUUGGGCAGAUGUGGUGGCUAUUCCUUAGCCAGCUGUUUGCACUGAACAUGAGAUCUGGCUCUAAGGUGACCCAAAGCUAUGGUGGAAAAAGAUCCAAACAAACGUAGAAGCAGCUAUGCUGGCCAAUAGAUUGUUAAAAACAGUACUUAACCAAUGUUAACUCCCACUUUGCUGCGUUAAGUGUAGAGUUCUCAUUGAUACAUAACAUAAGGACUAAAUAGAUAACGUAGGUGUAUCUCUAGUUCUGGCAGUGUUGGAAAAUUUCUCUUAGGGCCUUGUUCAUCAUUAUCAAGGCAGCUUUUUAAGAAAAAAGACUUCUUUAGAAAUAAUAAAUGCUAGAGUUCCCACUGUGGUGCAGUGGAUUAAGACUCCUUGGGUUGCUGAGGAGGCAUGGGUUUGAUCCCUCAUCUGGUGCAGUGGGUUAAAGGAUCUGAUGUUGCUGAAGCUGUAGUGUAGCUAGCAUCUGUGGCUUGGUUUCAGUCCUUGGUCUGGGAACUCCCAUAUGCUGUGGGUGUGGCCAUGAAAAAUAAUAAUAAUAAAUACUAAUUUUAAAAAGACUCCAUCAAGCCCAUUUUCCAAGGGCGUUUGGGAUUCUGGAGGGUUAGGAAAGAGAUGUUUGUCUUGGCCAAAAGCACCAAUAGUAAAAUGAUUGUCCGUGGAAGGAGCACUGGAUUGAGAAUCUGAACACCUGAGUUCCCAAGUCUGGCUCAGCAUCUAUUUGUGGGGGCUGUUGGAGAGACCCUUUACCCACUGUGGCUCAGUUUCUCUCUCUGAAAGUUGAAUUUGUGUUAGCUAAUUCUUUGAGUAUUCUGUACCCUGAAAAUACCAAGCAUCGAUUUCUUUAGCCUCUUUAUGAUGUAAUUAAAUAACCCUUUCCAACCCUUACGACCACGGGGAAACGCUCUCUGAAAAUAUGUAUUUAUCCAGCCCCUAACUCAUUAUAUCAUUGUAAGCUGGACUGAAAAGGCUCCAGGGGUCACUGGGAACCAUGUUUUCAGAUUAGCAUCAAUAUAGAGAUCCAGUGGCUGAAAGAAAUUAGGGUGAGAGUAAUAACAAAUAGUAAAGCAGGCUGGGAGCCGGUGAGACUUAAAUCAUUUGCUGAUAAUAGAUGGACCUUUUCUGAUAACCUUAAGCCUCAUGAUAUUUUUAAAAUAGUUCUUUUAACCUUAACAUCAUCCCCUAACAUGACUGAAAAGCUACAUGUGACAUAAAGAGAGAAGGGGAAUGCUUUUGCUGAGCACUGCCUUCACUGGUGAGCGUGUUGAAAUGUCUUCAAGCUAGAAAACCAAAGCAAGGUGAAAAGCAAAGAAAAGCAACAAAACCAAAUAAAGACAACAAAAAGUACUUUCAGUCUGCCUGCCUCCCAUGCCUCUGCUCUGCUUCUCGCCUUGUUUCCACAUGCUCUUCAGAAGAGUAGAUGUUAUCUGUUAUCUUUCUUUCAGUCUUGCCAUACUUCCAGGGAGAUGUGAAGCCUGCCACCAAGACUGACGUCUGUCACUAUCAGACUGGACCAUUUCAUUGCUGCAGCCCCGUGUCUCUGGUUCACAGUUAGCCCUUGUCCUACUUGCCCUCUCUAAAGCCCCCUGCAUUGUUGAGAAAAUUGCCUCUUUAAACCACUUCCCUUCAUGCAACUUUCAAGGCUUUUAAAAAAUUAGUAUUAUUAAAAACAUAAUCUUGUUUUUUUGUAGAAAAUUUAGUAACUAAAAGACAAACAAAAAGAAAUAUAGAAAUUACCCAUAAACGUAUGACCUCGACGAGAAAGCUGCUAUUAAAAUGUUAGUGUAUUUUCUGCCAUUUGUGGGUGGAGGGAAGAGAGUGAGGGGGAAGCAGUACAAGAUGAGUCUAGGGAGCAAGGUACCAGACACACAAGGCCUUGUAGGCAGACCUGGGAUUUGGAAGUUUAUUCUGAGAGCAAUGAGACAACGAGGAGGCUUUUCAGUAGGAUGAUGAGACUCUACCUCUCCUUCAAUCAACUUGAAGUCCCCAGAUGGUCAAACUUUUCUUGACCUCCAUCUCCUCCAAAGUUCUACUCAGUUCAUGGGUCCCUAGUUCACCAGCUGUUCCAUGGGGUAUAACCUACAGUUGCCCUGAACCAGGGCAGUCUUGUGGAGCUGGGCACAAAGCUUUUCAUCUUCACUUUCCCAUCAUCCUUAUUGGCAUUAUCUCUUGAAGGAUCCUCUCAGACCUGAUAAACUAAUGAAUACUAAAGUGUAAAUGAAAUGGAACUUAUUAUCCCUUCCAGGGCAAUAGCUUUUUAAAAACUUCAAGCCUAUACAAAACUGAGGGGAAUAUUACAUUAAGCUCCUGAAUGCCACCAGCCAACUUCCACCAGUAAUCAACUCAAGGCAAAUCUUGUUUCUUUGGUAUUCACAACUACUCCAUCCUACCUCAGACAUUUUAUGUGGGAAAUUUCAUUGCAGUAGACAAAGUAAAUUAACCUCAAAGAAUAUAUCUUUAAAGGGGAACUACUGGUAAUUUAUCAUAUGAUGAGGGAGGGAAAAUUUCCAUAGGUGCCUUUUUGAGCAAUCAUGUAGCAUGUGAAGAAUUUAGUUCUUACAUUGAAUGUCUGGGAAAUAUGGAUAUCUAUAUCUAUAUCUACCUAUCUAUCUAUCUGUCUAUCUAUCUAUCUAUCUAUCUAUCUAUCUAUUUAUCUAUCUACAAAGGUGCAUGAAGCACACAAUACUUUUGGGAAGGAAAAUGUUGCCAAUUUUCCAGAGGAUUUGAAAUAGCAUUUUAAAUAGAGAUCCAGUUACCCUUUUAGGAGAGGUGCCUGGCAAAGGAAAGUGUGCCAAUAGAAUGACCUUCCACACUCAAAUAUAUUUGAAGCCAGGGAAUGUGCUGGAGGAGUCAGCUUUCUGAAGAACCUAAAGGUACCCAAAAAGCCAAGAGUGGUGCUAGAGAGUAAGUAGUGCUUGAAAAUGCAGUCUUUAUUUAUUUUUUUAUUUAAGCAGUGUAAUUAAAUGACAACAUAACGUAGCACAGUUUUAUGAAGCAAUAAUCCGCUUCCCAAAUGGGUAAACUAUAAACCUGAUGGCUAAGUCCUUUGUCCCAGUGAGGGAGCCUGAUUAUUGCAGGGUAAAGCAGGGAUCAACCUCUUAUUUUGCUACCUGAGUUGAAAUAGGUCUAAGACACUCGAUAUAGAUUCUUACUCUGGGUAGGGAAGUCAAAGCUUUAAAUGUGGGAGAAAGAUGAAGGCACAUGGGAAUGGGCAGGGGGCUAGGAGAUGUGUUUGGAGAGAGCUUGGGGGUGGGUAGUGAGAUUCUGCAAAGGAAACAGGUGGAAAGAGUAGGUGAAUUCAGUAAAGCUCUAGCUU
Molecule: long non-coding RNA, 4920 nt
Filed under: Sus scrofa (pig)
Lineage: Eukaryota; Metazoa; Chordata; Mammalia; Artiodactyla; Suidae
Description: lncRNA (ENSSSCG00000063517.1)
Source: RNAcentral